UUAUGGUACUAACAGUUAAGGAAUUAGGGGCCAAAAGGGGCCAAUAAUAAGCAUUUUUGUAACUUCCAGACAUAACUUGUGUGUAAGUGUAUGGAUCUCUCUGACAUUGUACCACAAGGUUCCAUAUCACAAAGGGAAUGCUGGGAUUGAUUUUGGGGGUAAUUGUCUCCAAAUUUUAGGAAUUAGGGGCCAAAAAGGGGCAAAAAACAAGCAUUUUUCUAGUUUCAUGACAAUAACUUGUUUGUAAGUGUAUGGAUCUUUAUGAAAUUGUACUACAAGGUUCCAUAUCACAAAGGGAAUACUGGGAUUGAUUUUUGGGGUAAUUUCCUCCAAAUAUUAGGAAUUAGGGGCCAAAAAGGGGCAAAAAACAAGCAUUUUUCUAGUUUCAUGACAAUAACUUGUUUGUAAGUGUAUGGAUCUUUAUGAAAUUGUACUACAAGGUUCCAUAUCACAAAGGGAAAGCUGGAAUUGAGUUUGGGGGUGAUUGCCCUAAUCGUUUAGGAAUUUGGGGCCAAAAAGGGGCCAAAAAACAAGCAUUUUUCUAGUUUCCAGACAAUAACUUGUGUUCAAGUGUAUGAAUCUCUCUGAAAUUGUACUGCAAGGUACCAUACCACAAAGGGAAAGCUGGGAUUGAGUUUGGGGGCGAUGAAUCAUAAGGGGGUUCAAAAAAUUGGGGGGGGAUUUUUUUUUUCCUUUUUUUUCUUUAACAUUUUCCAUUUUAAAUUGGUUAUUUCUGAUUUAUAUAUAAAAGCAAAUAAUAAUGAUAUGGUUUGAAUAGGCAUACAUGUGAACCUCCCGACGGGAGUACAAUAAUCCCGUUUUCAGGGGUCUCCUCCCCCCUUCCCGUUGAAAAAAUCCCGUGUAUGAAAUUUUUCAUGAAUGAAAAAUUUCUGCCCAACAUAACAUCUCAGGCAUCUGGUGUAACUGACAUUACCUGAAGUUAUAUUUUACCUGUAAAUCAAUUAACAUGCAUAAUUAUAUGGCUUCACUUGUCAGCUUGGGUGUCAAACAUACUGGUAAGCAACGAUUUUUACCUCAGGCUAACUGCCGUUGUGUAACAAAAACUGUGUAUUUAUUGGGUUACUUCCCUUGAUUUAUCCUGUUUUAAGUUACUUUCCUUUUAAUAAUGAAAAUUUUUAAAAGAAUAUAAAUAAAAUAUAAAUUGAACAAAUAAUCAUAAAAGGAUGGUUAUUAAAUGAUUUUAAAUGUCUUAGGACAAAUAAAAAAAUAAUAAUUUGAAAAUUAUUUGAGGAUUCUAUACUUCCUUUUAAGGCUUAAAUUGAAAUUUAUAUAUUAUCACUAUGACCCUAACUUUACAGAUAGAAUGAAUUUCUGAGUUUGCAAAUAAAAACUAUUUGCAAGAGAAAAAAAAAAAAAAAUAUAAACUAAUUGCAGACAGCUAAACAAAUGUUCUGGUUGCAAUGAUUGUUUUAUAGAAUAUGAAGUAAAAAAUUUAAAGAACAUACUGGAAAAAAACAAUGUUAGAUUGAACAUGUAGAAUAUAAAGAUGGAGAAACUUUAUAAGUACAAGGGUACUAUAAACAUAAUAAAUUGGUUGGAAAGUUGAAGAAAACACACUUUAAAAGACCAUUUUUACAGCACACGGUUACAUUUACAACAAAAUUAAUGUCGAUUAAAAACCUCCUGAUCUGAGUCCUAAUCUCCUGACCAAAAUUUCCCAAUCUCCUGAUCUGAGUUUCACAGUCCAUCACAUGUAUGAAUAGGUAAAUUGAAAAUUUUUAAGUUCUUAGACCACUUUCAUUCUGUGUCAGAAACCUAUGCUGUGUCAAAUAUUUAAUUACAAUCCAAAUUCAGUGCUGUAUCAAGCUUGAAUGUUGUGUCCAUACUUGCCCCAACUGUUCAGGGUUCGACCUCUGCGGUCGUAUCAAGCUGCGCCCCAGCGGAGCAUUUUAUUGUAACUUCCAGACAUAACUUGUGUAUUAGUGUAUGGAUCUCUCUGACAUUGUACCACAAGGUUCCAUAUCACAAAGGGAAUGCUGGGAUUGAUUUUGGGGGUAAUUGCCUCCAAAUUUUUAGGAAUUAGGGGCCAAAAAGGGGCAAAAAAACAAGCAUUUUUCUAGUUUCAUGACAAUAACUUGUGUGUAAGUCUAUGGAUCUCUCUGACAUUGUAUCACAAGGUUCCAUAUCACUAAGGGAAUGCUGGGAUUGAUUUUGGGGGUAAUUGCCUCCAAAUGUUAGGAAUUAGGGGCCAAAAAGGGGCAAAAAACAAGCAUUUUUCUAGUUUCAUGACAAUAACUUGUGUGUAAGUGUAUGGAUCUUUAUGAAAUUGUAC
Long non-coding RNA from Mytilus californianus (California mussel), 2293 nucleotides. RefSeq lists it as uncharacterized. Lineage: Eukaryota; Metazoa; Mollusca; Bivalvia; Mytilida; Mytilidae. The record is from RefSeq and is a predicted model, not a curated record. The transcript has 3 exons.